UUAAGUUCAGCGGGUAGUCCUACCUGAUUUGAGGUCGAAUAGAUAAGGCUGGGAGCCUGCGCUCGCGCCGAUCAAGCGAGGGGUCUACAACGCUCGGUCGUCGCGGGCAGCAGAGGCGCUCCGCAUGUAUUUCGGCCAGGCCGACGACGAGCGCCGGCCAAGGCCACGGUCCACGGCCGCGCAGGUGAGAACCCGGGGCG
RNAcentral lists this unclassified non-coding RNA (200 nucleotides) under Phyllozyma sp. RNAcentral's name for it is "partial internal transcribed spacer 2". Lineage: Eukaryota; Fungi; Basidiomycota; Spiculogloeomycetes; Spiculogloeales; Spiculogloeaceae. The record is from RNAcentral.